UGAACACCUGCUGAUGGAGAGUGAA
This 25-nucleotide non-coding RNA is filed under the name Mus musculus (house mouse). Lineage: Eukaryota; Metazoa; Chordata; Mammalia; Rodentia; Muridae. The record is from RNAcentral.